UGAAGCUCUGCAAAUCCAUGGCCGCUUUGAUAUCUAUAGAUACUCUUUUAAUCAGAACUAACCAUAACUUUGCCCAAAAUUCUUUAGAUAUGGUCCGGCUUCAUCUUUUAUCUUCGUAUAUGGCCCAUCUUCACAUAAUCAAUAAAGAUAUUGGGGCUUUGAACCGGACCUCACAUAAUUCUUAGAGCUCACAACAAUUUCUCAUGCUUAAAAGAGAUCGUAAAAAUGGUAUGUUCAAACCCUUCCUGCAUCUCGUUCUUCCCUUUCUUAAUUAUCGAUCAACAACCACAGCCUCCAAAAUCCAUACCUUCAUUCUCCCUUUAAUCGAUCAGAUGUCUUCUUCCCUCUUAGAAAACGCGCCUCAUGAUCUCCUCUACCCUAAACUCGCUUUCCAUCGUUCACCAGUCUUCACGAAAUGGACAAGGGGUCUCCGCCCCCUCAUCCACCUCCAACCUUCACCUUCUGGUCCUUCUUCCCCUCCACCAGGUGGAUUUGAUUUUGUUUUCAAGCGAUUUCUGCGGUUUUUCGUUUUUCCCUGGUUUGAGGUUCGUAUCUUAGAUCGAGACAGGAGACGAAAUUAGAAGCGAUGUAUUUUAUUCAUCUUUCUCUCCCCCCCUCCUUCGUAUUGCCUAUCCAUCAACUGCAAUCAAGCUCGAUGCUCGGUUCGAUUACACAACCAAAAGAGCUAGGUCACGAAGUAUCCUGUAAGUGAUCCAUCUAAGAAUCCUCCAAGACUUCUGCUGAAUUCAAGGAGUGCUCUCUGCAAAGUUUAGAGUGCUUUCAAUGGCGACGAUCUUAUCCUUCGCCACAUCCGCCUCCAAUUUUAGAGUGAUUUCCAAAAUGGAUAUCUUUCCCUGUUUAUGAACAGGUAUCAGCAGCCACUUCACCUUCUGUUCCAAGACAGUUGGGACAAGUAUAUAUUUCUUGAUUUCAGAUCCAACCUGCUGAUUUUAUUCAAUGAUGAACACACACUUGAUAAUAUCAGCAGAUCCAAGUGUAUUUUCUGUAUAUAAGAUGGAAGUGUUGAGAGAUACUUGCACAAAAACCCAACCUGUGUUUAGAGUUACAACAGAUGAUGGAUAUCAGUUUGAUGGUCCAGAUCCUUCAUCAUGCUGGAAUAAAAUUUAUGAAAAAAUAAGAAAAAUACAUUCAAGUAGUUAUGAUGAGUCACAGGGUGAAGGUGAAUCUAUGAGCGUCUUCAAGUCAGGUGCUGAUAUGUUUGAUUUUUCUGAUCCUCAUGUGUUGAAACUUAUACAGGGGACAUCAAAUUCAAAGAUGAUAUCAGGGAGCUUACUCAGCAUGCCAAUUGGUUAUAGCCAUGUUCAUGUUAAAUGGAAGGAUCUUGAUAAGUGCAACGUCUGUCACAUGGAUGAGGUUGAAACAAAGCUGAGGCUUCCUGCGGUAAUAAGCAAAAUUUUCCAGCCUAGUAUCCACAGAGGAAUUACGGGAAGCUGUUCAAAUUUUUUUGAAGUCUUCCAAAGUCAAUAAAACUGAGGAAUGAUACAUAAUACCUUAUCUGCAUAUGAAUCCAAGGUUCACAACACGUUUCUUGAUCUUGAGGAGUCGAAUAUUCUUCGCCUGUAUAUGAGUGAUGCAAUAAUAGAUAUAUCUAAAGCUCGUGAAGCUUUUGAAGCAAAAGAAGCAGCACCAUCUGUUGCAGGUUUCUUGGAGUAGCAGCUGUGCUACAUGAACUAGAAAUAGUGCUGACAGUUUGUCUGUAGCUUUUGGAGUCCUUCAAUUUGAAAAAGAUCUCCUCCCAUUGACCCUUCUUAUAUAUCCCUGCUUCAGAGGGCAGUGAACAAGCCUCAAGCUUUGAAGCCUUUCCAAUUUCUGCCAUCGCCUAUACAGUAAUUUGAGUUCCAAGGUUAUAAAGGAAAGGGAACCUUAUAACUCCCGUGUAUAUAAUGUCAUCAAACGCUUUCAAUCACAAUGGCCAAAAGUAGAAGAUCCAAACAUGAAAGAUGCAAAAGAUGAUGCAUCUGUAUCACCU
Lactuca sativa (garden lettuce) is the source of this 1990-nucleotide non-coding RNA. The record is from RefSeq and is a predicted model, not a curated record. Lineage: Eukaryota; Viridiplantae; Streptophyta; Magnoliopsida; Asterales; Asteraceae.